Molecule: microRNA precursor, 62 nt
Filed under: Pan troglodytes (chimpanzee)
Lineage: Eukaryota; Metazoa; Chordata; Mammalia; Primates; Hominidae
Description: miRNA
Source: RNAcentral
GAAGAGGUAUUGCCGCCCUUUCUAGUCUAAUAGGGACUAGAAAGGGUGGCAAUACCUCUUCC